AUCUGAUGGAAAGUGCCACCUUACUUUUCCCAUCUCGGUCACAUUCUCUCGUUUCCCUGCCAAGGAUUGGGUGGUGCGUCGACCCCGAAGCGUGAAGUGUUGUUGAGAAAAGAACCCCGUAAACUCUCUGUGAUUAGAGCUGCUGCUGCUAAGUCGCUUCAGUCGUGUCCGACUCUGUGCGAGCCCAGAGACGGCAGCCCACCAGGCUCCCCCGUCCCUGGGAUUCUCCAGGCAAGAACCCUGGAGUGGGUUGCCAUUUCCUUCUCCAAUGCAUGAAAGUGAAAAGAGAAAGUGAAGUUGCUCAGUCGUCUUCGACUCUUAGCGACCCCAUGGACUGCAGCCCACCAGGCUCCUCCGUCCAUGGGAUUCUCCGGGCAAGAGUACUGGAGUGGGGUGCCGUUGCCUUCUCCAGCGAUUAGAGCUAGAUACUCCUAAAUUCUCUUUAUUCACCUGAGACUUGUUCAGACUCCUGUCUUAUCCCAGGUUUUUUCUAUGACUCCGGACGCAAAGGUAAAAAGAAAGUAGUCCUGGUCAUUAUAAACCUCACAGUCUAGCGGAGGAAAAGAGAUAUAAACAGCGUAAAUGCCAUUUGCAGUAAAACUUUGCAGGAAAUGUUCGGAGUGGAAGAUGGGUGUGAAGGGAAAUAUUCUGCUGGCAUCUGCUGCGUGCACCGUGCUAGGUGCGUUCUUUGUGUUCUCUUGUCUGCUGCUCUUGGAGAAUACCUGACUGCAGCUCAUGAUGUACCAGCAUCUCCGCUUCUUCAUGAAUUACUCCUCGCUGGGGAAGAUUCUCACACAAAUAUUGGAGACCGCAGCCUGGCCCAGUUUCAAGUCACUGAGAUUCUCAUGCACUGAUACUCUUGAAGGUGGCAGUAUUGAAACCCCAUCUCCAGGACAUGGCCCCCAGGGUUAUCACACCCGUCAGCGUCAAGCCAGUGGAAGGAGAACCAAGGAAUGAGGAAAGCGCAUUCCUGCCGAUCACAUCAGUCGAACCCCUGAAUUGCCCUGCCCACUCAAGAGCAGGAAUAUAGAGAGAAGAAAUCGAGUGUUGCAAUUUCUCCUUCUGAAUCUUAAAUAGCUUCCGUACUGCUUCCAGGUUGUGAUAUAAACCAGAGGAUGCUGUCACUGUGCUGUGGCCCCAUUUACCUUUCUAGAGUUAGAAGGCAAAGGUUGUAUCUGACGGGUCUACCAGCCCUUUCUUGGUUUUCCAUCUCUUAUCCCAUAAAUACAUGGUCUAGUAAGGUCCAGUGUCUUUGUGAGUGUCUCACAAUUCAUCUGUGGCAUUUUUAUUAGGUAUGGACAUUCCCAAAGGAACUGAGAAGUGGCAUUAUCAAUGCUUUCCAAAAUAUACACUGGUAGGUAGAUAAUUUUGGCUUCCCUGGUGGCUCAGAUGGUAAAGAAUCCACCUGCAAUGUGUGAGACCCAGGUUCAGUCCCUGGGUCAGGAAGAUCCCCUGGAGAAGGGAAUGGCAAGCCCCUCCAGUAUUCUUGCCUGGAGAAUCCCAUGGGGUUGCAAAGAGUUGGACAUGACUGAGUGACUUUCACUUUCACUUCAGGUAAGUAAUUUAGAUGAAAUCUUCGGUAGUUAAGAGUUUUUCAAGAGCAGUGCUGGGCAAUAAAUUUAAAUCAGGAUUCUUGGUAUAACUAGGG
RNAcentral lists this long non-coding RNA (1648 nucleotides) under Bos indicus x Bos taurus (hybrid cattle). RNAcentral's name for it is "lncRNA (ENSBIXG00005022738.1)". Lineage: Eukaryota; Metazoa; Chordata; Mammalia; Artiodactyla; Bovidae. The record is from RNAcentral.